UAACCUGCCUUGGAGUGGGGAAUAACAGCUGGAAACAGCUGCUAAUACCGCAUAAUAUAUCUGGGUCGCAUGGCUCUGGAUAUCAAAGAUUUAUCGCUCUGAGAUGGACUCGCGUCUGAUUAGCUAGUUGGUGGGGCAACAGCCCACCAAGGCGACGAUCAGUAGCCGGACUGAGAGGUUGGCCGGCCACAUUGGGACUGAGACACGGCCCAGACUCCUACGGGAGGCAGCAG
This 233-nucleotide ribosomal RNA is filed under the name uncultured bacterium. RNAcentral describes it as "partial 16S ribosomal RNA". It matches the Rfam family "Bacterial small subunit ribosomal RNA", at positions 122 to 354 of the family's 1533-position model. The record is from RNAcentral.